GAUGAACGCUGGCGGCGUGCUUAACACAUGCAAGGCGAGCGAAGCGCUUAAGUUCGAUUCUUCGGAUGAAAACUUUUGUGACUGAGCGGCGGACGGGUGAGUAACGCGUGGGUAACCUGCCUCAUACAGGGGGAUAACAGUUAGAAAUGGCUGCUAAUACCGCAUAAGACCACAGUACUGCAUGGUACAGUGGUAAAAACUCCGGUGGUAUGAGAUGGACCCGCGUCUGAUUAGGUAGUUGGUGAGGUAACGGCCCACCAAGCCGACGAUCAGUAGCCGACCUGAGAGGGUGACCGGCUCAUUGGGACUGAGACACGGCCCAGACUCCUACGGGAGGCAGCAGUGGGGAAUAUUGCACAAUGGGCGAAAGCCUGAUGCAGCGACGCCGCGUGAAGGAUGAAGUAUUUCGGUAUGUAAACUUCUAUCAGCAGGGAAGAAAAUGACGGUACCUGACUAAGAAGCCCCGGCUAACUACGUGCCAGCAGCCGCGGUAA
This 494-nucleotide ribosomal RNA is filed under the name uncultured bacterium. RNAcentral describes it as "partial 16S ribosomal RNA". It matches the Rfam family "Bacterial small subunit ribosomal RNA", at positions 28 to 523 of the family's 1533-position model. The record is from RNAcentral.